UAAUACAUGCAUGUCGAGCGGGAGUAGCAAUACUCUAGCGGCAAAUGGGUGAGUAACACGUGCUUAAUCUACCUUUUAGAUUGGAAUACCCAAUGGAAACAUUGGUUAAUGCCGGAUAAGUAUGAAAUCGCAUGAUUUCGUUAUGAAAGAAGCGUUUGCUUCACUAAGAGAUGAGGGUGCGGAACAUUAGCUAGUUGGUGAGGUAAUGGCCCACCAAGGCUAUGAUGUUUAGCCGGGUCGAGAGACUGAACGGCCACAUUGGGACUGAGAUACGGCCCAAACUCCUACGGGAGGCAGCAGUAGGGAAUAUUCCACAAUGAGCGAAAGCUUGAUGGAGCGACACAGCGUGCACGAUGAAGGCCCUCGGGUUGUAAAGUGCUGUUGCAAGGGAAGAAAAAGCAGUUGAGGAAAUGCAACUGAACUGACGGUACCUUGUUAGAAAGCGAUGGCUAACUAUGUGCCAGCAGCCGCGGUAAUACAUAGGUCGCAAGCGUUAUCCGGAAUUAUUGGGCGUAAAGCGUUCGUAGGCUGUUUAUUAAGUCUGGAGUCAAAUCCCAGGGCUCAACCCUGGCUCGCUUUGGAUACUGGUAAACUAGAGUUGGAUAGAGGUAAGCGGAAUUCCAUGUGAAGCGGUGAAAUGCGUAGAUAUAUGGAAGAACACCAAAGGCGAAGGCAGCUUACUGGGUCUAUACUGACGCUGAGGGACGAAAGCGUGGGGAGCAAACAGGAUUAGAUACCCUGGUAGUCCACGCCGUAAACGAUGAUCAUUAGUCGGUGACCAAUCACUGACGCAGCUAACGCAUUAAAUGAUCCGCCUGAGUAGUAUGCUCGCAAGAGUAAAACUUAAAGGAAUUGACGGGGACCCGCACAAGCGGUGGAGCAUGUGGUUUAAUUUGAGGAUACGCGGAGAACCUUACCCACUCUUGACAUCCUUCGCAAAGCUAUAGAGAUAUAGUGGAGGUUAACGGAGUGACAGAUGGUGCAUGGUUGUCGUCAGCUCGUGUCGUGAGAUGUUUGGUCAAGUCCUGCAACGAGCGCAACCCCUAUCUUUAGUUACUAACGAGUCAUGUCGAGGACUCUAGAGAUACUGCCUGGGUAACUGGGAGGAAGGUGGGGAUGACGUCAAAUCAUCAUGCCUCUUACGAGUGGGGCUACACACGUGCUACAAUGGUCGGUACAAAGAGAAGCAAUAUGGCGACAUGGAGCAAAUCUCAAAAAGCCGAUCUCAGUUCGGAUUGGAGUCUGCAA
RNAcentral lists this ribosomal RNA (1248 nucleotides) under Metamycoplasma hyosynoviae. RNAcentral describes it as "bacterial SSU rRNA". It matches the Rfam family "Bacterial small subunit ribosomal RNA", at positions 49 to 1310 of the family's 1533-position model. The record is from RNAcentral. Lineage: Bacteria; Bacillati; Mycoplasmatota; Mycoplasmoidales; Metamycoplasmataceae.